CCUACGGGUGGCAGCAGUGGGGGAUAUUGCACAAUGGGGGGAACCCUGAUGCAGCGACGCCGCGUGGGUGAAGAAGCGCCUCGGCGCGUAAAGCCCUGUCAGCAGGGAAGAAAAUGACGGUACCUGAAGAAGAAGCCCCGGCUAACUACGUGCCAGCAGCCGCGGUAAUACGAAGGGGGCAAGCGUGAUCCGGAUUUACUGGGUGUAAGGGGGGGGCAGACGGGGAUGCAAGCCAGGAGUGAAAGCCCGGGGCCCAACCCCGGGACUGCUCUUGGAACUGCGUGGCUGGAGUGCAGGAGGGGCAGGCGGAAUUCCUGGUGUAGCGGUGGAAUGCGUAGAUAUCAGGAGGAACACCAGUGGCGAAGGCGGCCUGCUGGACUGCAACUGACGUUGAGGCCCGAAAGCGUGGGGAGCAAACAGGAUUAGAUACCCCAGUAGUC
RNAcentral lists this ribosomal RNA (440 nucleotides) under uncultured bacterium. Its description in RNAcentral is "partial 16S ribosomal RNA". It matches the Rfam family "Bacterial small subunit ribosomal RNA", at positions 338 to 795 of the family's 1533-position model. The record is from RNAcentral.